UAUAAGGGUAAUUAAGUUGUCAUAAAGUAGCAGAUAGAAAGUUACCCUUGUAAGAGAACUUACAAUUGCUGUGCAAGACAUUAAAUUAUACUAAAAGAUAAAAGUUUAUUUCAAGGGAUUUCUUUGAUUACAAUUUCUCCUCCCAAUUAUGAACCUUCAGUAAAAUGCAGAUAUGGCUCCAUAAUUUCAAAUAAAAAUCUCUGUUAGAAGCCAAAAAAUCCAGAGUCUUCAAAAUCCAGAGUGGUCUACAUUCAGUCUUUGCCUGAUGUGGUUAUGCUUUUAGACUGUGAACUGCCAAUGUAAACCAAUAAAAGGAAUUGCUUAGCAUCUGAAAUAUUGUUUAAUCAGAAGACUGUGUUUUACUAUAUUGAGUAAACAAAAGAUAAAAACAGAACUAGAAAUGACAGCAGAGUAAGACAAUAUAUGAAUACCUUCAUAGGCAUUACUUCCACCUGGCAAAACCAAACAUUCUAUUAUGUUUUACUGAUGGCCAAAUUUCUCCCUAUUGUACCCUUAUCUGUAAACCUGCCUAUCUGUAACAUAUCUGACAUCUACUUCAUGUUAAAAUUGGGGGAAAAAAGCAUUACCCUGUUUAUUUCUCUAAAAUUUAAGUAGCAUCAACUUUGCAGAAGGCAGAGCAGCCAGGUUUUAUUGCUCUUCUCAAGUCAAUUGGUAAAGUCAUUGUGAAUGAGUGUUAGUUGUUAGUUUUAUAAUCACAGCCUCUAGUUUUCUGGAUGAGAAACCAUAUCCCACAUUAAGCAGAACAUUAAGAACUGUUUUCAAAGCUGCAACAUAAAUUUUUAAAUGCAAGAACUAAUUUGAAUACUCUUAAUAAAUUUUAAUCAAUAUGCUUAAAAUGUAUUUAUUUAGAUAAUAGCCUCCUUUAUGGAAAAAAGUAAGUACUAAAAAUAAAAGAAUAUUUUGGCAUUAUUUAUUAAUUCAGAUUUUCUUGAUUCAUAUUAAAUUGUAACCUAAGCAAGGCUGCUUAGACUUUGUAUAAACAUUAAGCCAAAAUGAACUUUAUUUUAUUGUUUUGUUUUUCUAUAAUUUUUUUUGCCAAACGUUUAUUAGAAUAAGGUUGUUUUAGAGUAUGAGGGUAAAAAUGUUAAAAUGACAGAUUUCAUAGUUUUCAAUUUUUAUUAAAUGUGUUGACUAUGAACAAAAUCUGAUUUACUACUACAGGUAUUUAAUAAAUUUCAUCAUUAAUUUUAUGCAAAUUGGAGAAUAAUUUGCUAAAAUGUUACAAAUACCCAAUUUGGAGACAUCUUUUCAACUCAAAUGAAAUGAGUGUGGAUAAUUUCAUUUCUCAAUAGAAUUUAAAAGUUGACCAAAAAAUUCUUUAUUUCAGACUUCUUGAUCUGUAUAACCUGAAAAGAG
This 1377-nucleotide long non-coding RNA is filed under the name Marmota monax (woodchuck). The record is from RNAcentral. Lineage: Eukaryota; Metazoa; Chordata; Mammalia; Rodentia; Sciuridae.